UACGUAGGCAGCAAGCGUUGUUCGGAGUUACUGGGCGUAAAGGGUGUGUAGGCGGUUCUCUAAGUCUGGUGUGAAAUCUCCCGGCUCAACUGGGAGGGUGCGCCGAAAACUGGAGGGCUAGAGUGCGGGAUGGGAGAGUGGAAUUCCUGGUGUAGCGGUGAAAUGCGUAGAUAUCAGGAGGAACACCUGUGGUGUAGACGGCUCUCUGGACCGCAACUGACGCUGAAACACGAAAGCGUGGGUAGCAAACAGG
Molecule: ribosomal RNA, 253 nt
Filed under: uncultured bacterium
Lineage: Bacteria
Description: partial 16S ribosomal RNA
Rfam family: Bacterial small subunit ribosomal RNA
Source: RNAcentral